UAUGGCUCAGGACGAACGCUGGCGGCGUGCUUAACACAUGCAAGUCGAACGGAAAGGCCCUUUCGGGGGUACUCGAGUGGCGAACGGGUGAGUAACACGUGGGUGAUCUGCCCUGCACUUUGGGAUAAGCCUGGGAAACUGGGUCUAAUACCGAAUAUACCCUGCUGGUCGCAUGGCCUGGUGGGGGAAAGCUUUUGCGGUGUGGGAUGGGCCCGCGGCCUAUCAGCUUGUUGGUGGGGUGAUGGCCUACCAAGGCGACGACGGGUAGCCGGCCUGAGAGGGUGACCGGCCACACUGGGACUGAGAUACGGCCCAGACUCCUACGGGAGGCAGCAGUGGGGAAUAUUGCACAAUGGGCGCAAGCCUGAUGCAGCGACGCCGCGUGAGGGAUGACGGCCUUCGGGUUGUAAACCUCUUUCAGCACAGACGAAGCGCAAGUGACGGUAUGUGCAGAAGAAGGACCGGCCAACUACGUGCCAGCAGCCGCGGUAAUACGUAGGGUCCGAGCGUUGUCCGGAAUUACUGGGCGUAAAGAGCUCGUAGGUGGUUUGUCGCGUUGUUCGUGAAAACUCACAGCUUAACUGUGGGCGUGCGGGCGAUACGGGCAGACUAGAGUACUGCAGGGGAGACUGGAAUUCCUGGUGUAGCGGUGGAAUGCGCAGAUAUCAGGAGGAACACCGGUGGCGAAGGCGGGUCUCUGGGCAGUAACUGACGCUGAGGAGCGAAAGCGUGGGGAGCGAACAGGAUUAGAUACCCUGGUAGUCCACGCCUGUAAACGGUGGGUACUAGGUGUGGGUUUCCUUCCUUGGGAUCCGUGCCGUAGCUAACGCAUUAAGUACCCCGCCUGGGGAGUACGGCCGCA
This 862-nucleotide ribosomal RNA is filed under the name Mycobacterium sp. TR-1358. Its description in RNAcentral is "bacterial SSU rRNA". It matches the Rfam family "Bacterial small subunit ribosomal RNA", at positions 18 to 890 of the family's 1533-position model. The record is from RNAcentral. Lineage: Bacteria; Bacillati; Actinomycetota; Actinomycetes; Mycobacteriales; Mycobacteriaceae.